UCAAAUACCGCUUUUCUGGAAUUUGGGGCUAGAUUUCGCAUUGUCACACGUAAACUUACUUUGGUUUUUUGGGGCAAAAUCGCUGAAGCUGUACCGACUGGUGUACAGCAGGAAACGAUUUUGACGUUUGACUACUACGUUAAUUUAUAGUACUUACAUGCAAUGUGAGCACAAUUCACUCUCGCUGCUCCACUUGCACUAAUUGUGCUCUAAAUUACGCAAAAUCUAGCUAAAGCAAUAAACAAUGUGUGUUUGAUUUUUCUGGUAGACUAGUUGCAACACUGAUUUUUUAUCGCACUUUUCAAGGCUUUGUGUACAGGAGGACUGCUGUGUACCUAUUUACAGCUAAUAGGCAAACAAAAUAAUAGGAAAAGUUAAUCUUACCUUGGCGAAAUUUGCAUCAGCUUUUAAUGAGAAACAAAGAUCUGACAUCACAAUAAUAAAUCCGAGUAAAAUUGGAAAACAAUACGCGGAAUUACGAGCUCGCAACUUAUUGCUUCAUUCAAUAAUUAUUACAAAUAACACACGUUUUAUUAAAUCUUUAUUGUGGUACUUAAAUUAUAAACAAAUGGAGAAAACCGUGUCUUGGUGGUUAACACAGAGAGAAAAACAGAUUUUUAUGGGUCAUAAAAUCACCCAAGUUCAAGUCAAAACAAUUCAAUUCAAAGUCGCAAACGCAAUCAAUUUUUCGCUCAGUUCGGUCGAAAUGAAAGUAAUGUUGAUUCUCCUUGGACUUGCUCCAGUCUUGUGCCCUUCUGAAGGUGAGUCCCGACUGACGAAACGUAAUAAAUCGUGCUUUUAGGGUUUCGCUGCAUAAGAUGUUACGCUUCUUGUCCUUUACGAACCGUUUAUGACGAGUGUACUGAUUAUUGUUACAUUCUGAAAUUUAGAAGUAACACACUAGAUGGUGAAAAAUGAUUGAUUGAUUUGGACUUGUAGAUGAGGUGUACAAAGGGUGCGCCCCUUUUGAGCAAAAUCGUAUAAUAACGUUCGAUAAGUUUGACGAUUUGGUGCGGAAAAACGGUGGUUACCAGUCGAUUAAAUAUUGCAGGACAGAUGGGUGCAAUGUUGGAUAAAUAUCUG
This is a long non-coding RNA of Tribolium castaneum (red flour beetle), 1083 nucleotides long. RefSeq lists it as uncharacterized. The transcript is spliced from 2 exons. Lineage: Eukaryota; Metazoa; Arthropoda; Insecta; Coleoptera; Tenebrionidae. The record is from RefSeq and is a predicted model, not a curated record.